Molecule: ribosomal RNA, 774 nt
Filed under: uncultured Neocallimastigales
Lineage: Eukaryota; Fungi; Neocallimastigomycota; Neocallimastigomycetes; Neocallimastigales
Description: partial large subunit ribosomal RNA
Rfam family: Eukaryotic large subunit ribosomal RNA
Source: RNAcentral
GUACACGCUGUGACUAGCAUAUCAAUAAGCGGAGGAAAAGAAACUAACAAGGAUUCCCCUAGUAACGGCGAGUGAAGCGGGAAGAGCUCAAAUUUGAAAUCUUAAAGGGUUUCCCUUUACGAAUUGUAGUUUAAAGAAGUGUUUUCUGUUGAGGUUUUGGUAAAAGUUCUUUGGAAUAGGACAUCAUAGAGGGUGAGAAUCCCGUAUUUGACCUUUACUUUCACCUUUGUGAUACACUUUCAAAGAGUCGGAUUGUUUGGGAAUGCAGUCCAAAAUGGGUGGUAAAUUUCAUCUAAAGCUAAAUAUUGGCGAGAGACCGAUAGCGAACAAGUACCGUGAGGGAAAGAUGAAAAGAACUUUGAAAAGAGAGUUAAACAGUACGUGAAAUUGUCAAAAGGGAAGCGUUUGACACCAGUGUUGUUUUUCUGAAAAUCAAUUAAAGAACUGUUUAUGCUAAGCUGUUUAGACUUUAUCAGCUAACUGUUUAGUUUUGAGCUUUUCUUUAAUGCACUUUUCAGUUAACAAGUCAACAUCAAUUUCUUUUGCUGUAAAAAAGCUUGAGGAAGGUGGCUUGAGAUUCGUCUUAAGUGUUUAUAGCCUCUUGCCUAUGCAGUCGGAGAGAUUGAGGUCUGCAGCGUAGAUCCUUCGGGGCUAAAUGCAUUUGUGCUAAGUUAUAGCAUUUUAUAGACAACUUGUUGACUAUGAUUUGUCUUGUAGCUUACUCGCUUAUGUUAUUUUACCUACGCUUAGGAUGUUGACGCGCGUGUGUGCGUG